GAUGAAGAACGCAGCGAAAUGCGAUAAGUAAUGUGAAUUGCAGAAUUCAGUGAAUCAUCGAAUCUUUGAACGCACAUUGCGCCCGUUAGCAUUCUAGCGGGCAUGCCUGUCCGAGCGUCAUUUCAACCCUCAGGGUCCCCGUUCCGGCGGGGAACCUGGUGUUGGGGAUCGGCCCGCCCCGUGCGGCGCCGUCCCCCAAAUUCAGUGGCGGUCUCGCUGCAGCCUCCCCUGCGUAGUAGUUACAACCUCGCAUCGGAGCUCAGCGCGGCCACGCCGUAAAACCCCCGACUUUCUGAACGUUGACCUCCGAUCAGGUAGGAAUACCCGCUGAACUUAAGCAUAUCAAUAAGCGGAGGA
Molecule: unclassified non-coding RNA, 357 nt
Filed under: soil metagenome
Description: partial contains 5.8S ribosomal RNA, internal transcribed spacer 2, and large subunit ribosomal RNA
Rfam family: 5.8S ribosomal RNA (bases 1-120)
Source: RNAcentral